GUGCGUUUGCCUGGUACUGCGGUGUGAAAGUCAAGGCAUCAGCUGGAGAGACGAGACCUCAAAACCCACGGAGCAGCCCCCACACCCCUCACCCCCAGGGCAGCCACACGCAGUGACAUGCAACUCCCAGUGUCUUUGGGUUUAUUUAGCAAGAGGGAGUACUACAUCACCAUGGUGAAGUGGGCCACCAGCACCAAGGUCGCCGUGACCUGGCUGAACCGGGCGCAGAACGUGUCCAUCCUCACCCUCUGCGACGCCACCACGGGGGUCUGCACAAAGAAACACGAGGAUGAAAGUGAGGCCUGGCUCCACAGACAGGUAACUACUGCAUGUCCGGGUCCCCACUGUCACCUCCACCCAAUCCACCCCAGGGCUGGCCCUCAGAGCUUCGACAACAGCAGAAUGGCUUCUCAGAGUGAAUCACACAGGGCUCCCCAGGCAGAAACAGACGGCGUGCCGGCUCCGCUCACGGUGCCUCCUGUUCUCCAGGGUUGCCCAGAGAGCUCCCAGAGAUUCCGAGUUCCAGGGAGGGUCAUGUGAAAUUCACGGCUCUUCAGAGCGUGGAAUGUUUGGUGAGACCUCAGCUUGCAGUUAGAUGCCAGCACCUUGCUGAAUUGAAAAUGAACAGUCCAUCAAAGGUGGCUUAACAUAAUCUACUAUAGUAAAAGGGU
RNAcentral lists this small RNA (671 nucleotides) under Pan troglodytes (chimpanzee). RNAcentral describes it as "retained intron". The record is from RNAcentral. Lineage: Eukaryota; Metazoa; Chordata; Mammalia; Primates; Hominidae.